This 433-nucleotide ribosomal RNA is filed under the name uncultured bacterium. Its description in RNAcentral is "partial 16S ribosomal RNA". It matches the Rfam family "Bacterial small subunit ribosomal RNA", at positions 29 to 507 of the family's 1533-position model. The record is from RNAcentral.
AACGAACGCUGGCGGCAUGCCUAACACAUGCCAGUCGAACGAAACCUUCGGGUCUAGUGGCGCACGGGGGCGUAACGCGUGGGAACCUUCCCUUAUGUUCGGAAUAACUCCCCGAAAGGGGUGCUAAUACCGGAUAAGGUCUUCUGACCAAAGAUUUAUCGCCUUUGGAUGGUCCCGCGUUGGAUUAGCUAGUUGGUAGGGUAAAAGCCUACCAAGGCGACGAUCCAUAGCUGGUAUGAGAGGAUGAUCAGCGACACUGGGACUGAGACACGGCCCAGAAUCCUACGGGAGGCAGCAGUGGGGAAUAUUGGAACAUGGGCGAAAGCCUGAUCCAGCAAUGACGGGUGAGUGAUGAAGGCAUUAGGGUUGUAAAGCUCUUUUAACCGGGAUGAUAAUGACAGUACCGGGAGAAUAAGCUACGGCUAACUACGUG